AUGUUCCCAUGGCCCGGGCCUUGCCUCCUCCUCUUGGCCGUCGCCGUCGCCGUCUCCGCGAUCAUCCCGGCGCCGAUGCUCGCCGCGGCGGCCUCCGAGCCGGAACGAUGCGGCAGCGUGACCGUAUCGCGCCCGUUCGGGGUCGUCCAUGGCUCUGAGGAGAACCGGUGCGCCCAGAUGGGGUUCCAGGUCCACUGCAAGGACCACGUCCCCUACCUCGGGUACUACGAGCCCGACUACGGGCUGCGGAUCCUCCACAUCUUCGUCCACAACGGCUCCCUGCUCGUCUCCGACGCCCACAAGCUCCAAGACUUCGACGGUAGGUCCAGCCCCCAAGGCUGCCAUGUCCCCACGGCCGACACGGCCACCAAAGUCGGGGACCCGUUCUCCAUCAGCCCCCUCAACCAGAACCUCGUCUUCUACAACUGCACCAGGGCGCCGGGGCGCCCAGUGGGGCUGCUGGACACAGUGUGCCGGAACAACACUUUUGUCCGCGCGGGAGGGCCGUACAACGCGUCCGGCGGGAUCGACGGCGGGUACGCUCUGGAGGGCUGCAACGCCACCGCCGUGCCGGUGCUCGGGGCGUCCGGCGACGUGAAUGCCAGCGACUACGAGAAGCUCAUCAGGGAUGGCUUCCUCCUGACAUGGCAGCCGCCGAGUGCCGGCAACGGUGAGUUCAGUCGUUGA
RNAcentral lists this ribosomal RNA (687 nucleotides) under Triticum aestivum (bread wheat). RNAcentral's name for it is "partial small subunit ribosomal RNA". The record is from RNAcentral. Lineage: Eukaryota; Viridiplantae; Streptophyta; Magnoliopsida; Poales; Poaceae.